Molecule: long non-coding RNA, 1230 nt
Filed under: Capsella grandiflora
Lineage: Eukaryota; Viridiplantae; Streptophyta; Magnoliopsida; Brassicales; Brassicaceae
Description: long non-coding RNA (CGRA_LNC000957)
Source: RNAcentral
GUUUGCAUCGACUUACAUAUCUUUCUCUUGUAUUUACUCAGUUGACUUGGCUGAGCCAUCACUUGACAAAGAUCUGGUUUUAUGUUGAUAAGGUAUGUUAGGCUGUUCUCAAUUCAUAGUGAGCAAUAUUUGUAAUUUUUAUUCAGAGUCUAAACUUAUAAGUCUGUUCUCAAGAAAUCCAUAGUAUUGACUAAUUUUUAUUUGCUCCAGGUAAGUGCUUUGAAAGAUGUUGAUAUUCUCAUUGAUGCCAUGGAGAUUUUGUAAGUGUAGCAGAACUUGUUAUCUUAGUUGUCUUAAUAGCAUAACUAUCCUUGAUCUAUCCUAUCAAAUUCUAGAAACUUAUUGUAUCACUGAUAAGAAAAAAUGUUGAUUUUACUUCUGUGAGGCAGAGAAGGAAGAGUGUAUUAAUCAUUUGGUAACUACAUUGUUAUAACUAGUGUGUUUUUGAAUUCAUCUGACUUUUACCAUUGUCUUUUUUUUUUCUUCUAGAUUACAUACACCAGAUAGCAUUUCCAAGAAUUGUAUAAUUUGUCAGUGGAAUUGAUUCGGAGAGGUCAUGCUUGUGUUGAUCUCAAGUUAAAUCAAUUUAAACUUUCUGAUAGAAAUAGAUCCUUGUUUCUUUUUCCAGUUAAUUGUCAUUCUUUAGCUAUACUAGUGCAACUAACUCCACACAUGAAACUUAUUUAUGCUUUCAGAUGCCGGGAUAUAUAAGAGAGUACAGAGAGAAGAAAAUGAACAUCCCUGGAGGAAAUGAUUGAGGAGGGAAAGGCAAGGAUAAAGAAAGGUAUGCAGAGUGAAAAUUUUAACAUGUAUGACCUUAUUGGCUAUUGAACAGAGAGGCAAGUGAUAAAAUCAUCUCUGGUUACAUAUAAGAAAUAGACUCUCUUUUAUCUUUUGGUGUCUGAAUCUUUUGGUGUCUGCUUUGCAGUUCAAACCCUCAUCCUAAGGCUGGUGACUGCUGCAUGCGGUAUGUCCCUUUCUAAGUCUUUUGGCUAUUUGUAGCAUGAAAUAGUAUAACUUUCACAACUACAUUUUUUUGACCCGCUAUUUUACUUUCAGUAUUAGAAUAUCCCUUAUGUAUCUAAAGUAUUUGCUGUUCUUAAAACUAUCUUUGUGGUUUUGAUCUUUCUUUUAUUUUCAUAAUUGUAGCUAUGUACUCUUGAAACCUGGCGUGCUUCAUACUACUAACACUCUACGCGUGUAAGGUAAAAUACUCAACUAGCAUGUGAC